GGAAAUGCUCGGCUCAGUGUCUGCCCAGAAAGACCCUUGGCGAACAAGGGCGUUACUGAUGUUAUUCUCCCGCUGAUGGACACAGGGCUGAACUGAGAGGCAGUUAAUGAUAUUCUGUUGCUAGGUGAUCAAUGAGGCUGAAGUGGCAUGAAGUCCUCAAAGUGGGGUCUGUGGACUUGCAGCUUGUUCAUAUUGUAGAGUCUAGGCUGGGGCCCAGGAGCUUGCAUCGUUAACAACCCUGGCACAGAAGAGGGUGCGAUACACUCACCGCUCAUCUAGGAGCUACUGUGGUCUUUUGUCUAGGAUUGGGAGCCCUACAUUUCCCUCAGGUUCACACCUCUACUAUGAAGUUAAGUGGCCGGGGAGGUGUGGCAUGUCAUAGGCAAAUGUUUUCAAGGCCUGGCUGUACAACGGAAUCAUCUGGAGAGCUCUGGACACCACUGAUGCCUGGGCCCCAACUACACGGAUUUCUAUUAUUAUGAUUACUUGGAAGGUAAAAACAAAAAAAUCAUGAUUUCUUUUUCUUUUUUUCUAUACUGGGAAUUGGACCCAAGGCUUUCAUCAUGCUAUGGCAUGCUAUGUUCUAUAGCUGUACUAGAACCUCAGUCCUAAGACAUCUUUGAACCGUUCUGCAGCGCUAGGGAAUACAGAUUUUUAUUCUAAUGGACAAUGUACGCAUUUAAAGCUCAAGGUUCAUUUAAUGAGAUGGAAGGGUGGAAUGGAGCCUGGAGGAGAUUAGUUAUAACGAACUGAUUUAAUGAGAAACAUUUUUUUUUCUAACUCUUACUAUGCUUGCCUGUUUGUAUACUGGUAUGAGUUGAUUGUGAGCAUGUGUGAGUGUGUGCAAGUGUGUUAGUAAGUGUGUGUGUGUGUGUGUGUGUGUUGGGCACUGAACUCAGGGCCUCGCCCACUGAAAGCCCAUUUUACCACUGGGCUACCCUGGAGGCUGGCACUACAUACUUUGAUCUUUGCCUCGUUCCUGAAAGCUUCAGGGAGACUUUUCACGUGGGACUCAUGGUAACACCUGAUUCACGGUGCGUAUUUGAUCUAUAUCUGUUAAAUAAAGCAUGAUUUUUAAGAGAACACUUCAGUAUUUUGCCAACUCCUAAAUUCCUCCCCCAAGUCUCCUGCUGCAGCUCCCUGGAAGACACUCAGUCAGAGCUAAGGCCUCAGCUGGCACCUUACCCUUGUGUGUAAUCACGCUGGUCAGGGGAUCUCUGACGUCAGUCGGCUCUGGAUGCAUUCCCUGCGCCCUCCUCAUCCUCCCUGACAAAUUCCAGGGAUGGGGACCAACCUCUUAUUCAAAGAGCAAUUUCCUUCCUCCCUACACUAUUCGUGCGGGUAACCAGGGGUCUGUCUGUUGUCAGUCUGCAGGACUCCAGAGCUGGAGAGGAAGGCAGACUCUUUAAAGCAAGGGUCUGCCUCCACGCCUGAGAAAGACGGUGGAGUAAGAACGCGCUGCACAGUCACGAAAGAGUCAGAACAUGGUCCAAAAAUGGAGUCCUUCGAGGGAAUGUCUGAGCGCUUGUGAGAAGACUCCAAGAAGCCAAGACAGGAGGAGCCUUGUGACUUCCGUUUUUUAAAACCACGGAACUGUUCUUGGAUUAUGCUUUUGUGCCUCUCCUGGGACUUCCGGUGACUCAUCAGGACUGGGCAUUGUUAUCUGUUUGUGUGCACUAUGUGCCAUGUGCAGCUUGCCCUCGUGUUUGUACAACUUUCUCAUGUGACUCAUCUCAACCCUCAGAGCAUUAACUGUCCGAUGCUCUGAAUAAAGUUAGCUAUGGCAAGAGA
Long non-coding RNA from Mus musculus (house mouse), 1791 nucleotides. RefSeq annotates it as predicted gene, 35187. The record is from RefSeq and is a predicted model, not a curated record. The transcript is spliced from 3 exons. NCBI's taxonomy places the organism in Eukaryota, Metazoa, Chordata, Mammalia, Rodentia, Muridae.